UACGUAGGGUGCAAGCGUUAAUCGGAAUUACUGGGCGUAAAGCGUGCGCAGGCGGCUUUGCAAGACAGAUGUGAAAUCCCCGGGCUCAACCUGGGAACUGCAUUUGUGACUGCAAGGCUGGAGUACGGCAGAGGGGGAUGGAAUUCCGCGUGUAGCAGUGAAAUGCGUAGAUAUGCGGAGGAACACCGAUGGCGAAGGCAAUCCCCUGGGCCUGUACUGACGCACAUGCACGAAAGCGUGGGGAGCAAACAGG
This 253-nucleotide ribosomal RNA is filed under the name uncultured bacterium. Its description in RNAcentral is "partial 16S ribosomal RNA". It matches the Rfam family "Bacterial small subunit ribosomal RNA", at positions 524 to 776 of the family's 1533-position model. The record is from RNAcentral.